Molecule: ribosomal RNA, 429 nt
Filed under: Chloroflexota bacterium
Lineage: Bacteria; Bacillati; Chloroflexota
Description: Chloroflexi bacterium partial 16S ribosomal RNA
Rfam family: Bacterial small subunit ribosomal RNA
Source: RNAcentral
UGGGGAAUAUUGCACAAUGGGCGCAAGCCUGAUGCAGCCAUGCCGCGUGUAUGAAGAAGGCCUUCGGGUUGUAAAGUACUUUCAGUCGGGAGGAAGGUGGUAAGGUUAAUAACCUUAUCAAUUGACGUUACCGACAGAAGAAGCACCGGCUAACUCCGUGCCAGCAGCCGCGGUAAUACGGAGGGUGCAAGCGUUAAUCGGAAUUACUGUGCGUAAAGCGCACGCAGGCGGUUGAUUGAGUCAGAUGUGAAAUCCCCGGGCUUAACCCGGGAAUUGCAUCUGAUACUGGUCAGCUAGAGUCUUGUAGAGGGGGGUAGAAUGCCAUGUGUAGCGGUGAAAUGCGUAGAGAUGUGGAGGAAUACCGGUGGCGAAGGCGGACCACUGGACAAAGACUGAAGCUCAGGUGCGAAAGCGUGGGGAGCAAACAGG